GAAAAAUGGCAGGUAUCAUCCACAAGAUAAGCGAGAAGCUCCAUGGCGGCGACCACAAGGAGGAGGAGAAGCACAAGGAACAGAAGAAGCAUGAAGGCGGCAGCGUGGUGGAGAAGAUAAAGGAGAAGAUCCACGGCGAUAAGAAGGGAGAGGAGCAUGGAGAGAAGAAGAAGGAUAAGAAGGGAGAUGAGCACGGUGAUAAGAAGAAGAAGGACAAGAAGAA
This 223-nucleotide unclassified non-coding RNA is filed under the name Hevea brasiliensis (rubber tree). The record is from RNAcentral. Lineage: Eukaryota; Viridiplantae; Streptophyta; Magnoliopsida; Malpighiales; Euphorbiaceae.